CGGAGGAGGAGCCCGCGCCCGAUUAGCUAGUUGGUGAGGUAACGGCUCACCAAGGCAAUGAUCGGUAGCUGGUCUGAGAGGAUGGCCAGCCACACUGGAGCUGAGACACGGUCCAGACUCCUACGGGAGGCAGCAGUGGGGAAUCUUGCACAAUGGGCGAAAGCCUGAUGCAGCGACGCCGCGUGGGGGAUGAAGCUUUUCGGAGUGUAAACCCCUUUCGACUGGGACGAAUGCCUCGCAAGAGGAGUGACGGUACCAGUAUAAGAAGCCCCGGCUAACUACGUGCCAGCAGCCGCGGUAAGACGUAGGGGGCCAGCGUUGUUCGGAAUUACUGGGUGUAAAGGGUUCGUAGGCGGUGUGGCAAGUCGGGAGUGAAAUCUCUGGGCUCAACCCAGAGACUGCUUCCGAAACUGCUGUGCUUGAGUGUGAGAGAGGCUCGUGGAAUUGCAGGUGUAGCGGUGAAAUGCGUAGAUAUCUGCAGGAACACCCGUGGCGAAAGCGGCGAGCUGGAUCACUACUGACGCUGAGGAACGAAAGCUAGGGGAGCAA
This 549-nucleotide ribosomal RNA is filed under the name uncultured bacterium. RNAcentral's name for it is "bacterial SSU rRNA". It matches the Rfam family "Bacterial small subunit ribosomal RNA", at positions 219 to 771 of the family's 1533-position model. The record is from RNAcentral.